This 450-nucleotide ribosomal RNA is filed under the name uncultured bacterium. RNAcentral describes it as "partial 16S ribosomal RNA". It matches the Rfam family "Bacterial small subunit ribosomal RNA", at positions 354 to 796 of the family's 1533-position model. The record is from RNAcentral.
GUGGGGAAUUUUGGACAAUGGGCGCAAGCCUGAUCCAGCAAUGCCGCGUGCAGGAAGAAGGCCUUCGGGUUGUAAACUGCUUUUGUCAGGGAAGAAAUCUUCUGGGCUAAUACCCCGGGAGGAUGACGGUACCUGAAGAAUAAGCACCGGCUAACUACGUGCCAGCAGCCGCGGUAAUACGUAGGGUGCGAGCGUUAAUCGGAAUUACUGGGCGUAAAGCGUGCGCAGGCGGCUUUGCAAGACAGAUGUGAAAUCCCCGGGCUCAACCUGGGAACUGAAUUUGUGACUGCAAGGCUAGAGUACGGCAGAGGGGGAUGGAAUUCCGCGUGUAGCAGUGAAAUGCGUAGAUAUGCGGAGGAACACCAAUGGCGAAGGCAAUCCCCUGGGCCUGUACUGACGCUCAUGCACGAAAGCGUGGGGAGCAAACAGGAUUAGAAACCCGUGUAGUCC